GAAAAAUAAUAUAAAUUAAAAUUAGAUAUUAAAGGAUAAUUUUGUUCCUUAGUAAACAACUUAAUAGCAUCCCUAAAAGGCUGAAUUAACCCAAUUAAACCCACCUUAUUGGGACCUUUACGAAUCUGAAUAUAUCCUAAAACUUUACGCUCUAACAAAGUUAAAAAUGCUACCCCAACUAAAACACAAAUUAUUAAUAACAGUCUUGAUAAAAAU
RNAcentral lists this unclassified non-coding RNA (216 nucleotides) under Hevea brasiliensis (rubber tree). The record is from RNAcentral. Lineage: Eukaryota; Viridiplantae; Streptophyta; Magnoliopsida; Malpighiales; Euphorbiaceae.